This 24-nucleotide non-coding RNA is filed under the name Drosophila melanogaster (fruit fly). Lineage: Eukaryota; Metazoa; Arthropoda; Insecta; Diptera; Drosophilidae. The record is from RNAcentral.
UCAUAUAGAUGCAAGAAUAACUGU